AUGUGCAUCACCAGAGGGCGCAUGCACUGGACAUGAGGACUGCUGUACUGGUCCAUUAUAAUAUCACGGUCAUAUCUGCACCUAAACUCAAGGAGACAGUAGUCCGAAAGCUUCUGCAAUAGAUGGGAAGACCAGGAAACCAAAGGAGUCCGUACAGGAUUUGUGUCCAAUACACAACAUCGUGUAAGGUCAUUCUGUAGCUGUACAAAUGAAGAGACGGUUUAGUGAUGUGGAGUCCCCGGUUCAUUUAUACGAGUCCAGUGAAGAGGAAAGAGACACAGCCCUGUAUACGACAAGUGAUGGAGGAAUAGAAGAUGAAAGAGAGGUGACCCUACAUACAAAUGAUGGAGGGGUGGAAAAAGAAAUAGACACAACCCUACAUAUGGCAAGGGAUGAAUGGAUGAAAGAGGAAAGGGACACGACCCUAUGUACAAGUCAUGGAGGGAUGGAAGAGGAACGAGACUCGACCCUACAGACAACAAGUGAUGGAGGGAAGGAAAAGGAAAUAGA
This is a long non-coding RNA of Sinocyclocheilus anshuiensis, 510 nucleotides long. RefSeq lists it as uncharacterized. NCBI's taxonomy places the organism in Eukaryota, Metazoa, Chordata, Actinopteri, Cypriniformes, Cyprinidae. The record is from RefSeq and is a predicted model, not a curated record. The transcript has 3 exons.